GCCUCCGUAGCUCAGUGGAUAGAGCGCUGGCUUCCGGUGCCAUAGGUCGGGGGUUCGAAUCCCUCCGGGGGCA
Molecule: transfer RNA, 73 nt
Filed under: Microbacteriaceae bacterium
Lineage: Bacteria; Bacillati; Actinomycetota; Actinomycetes; Micrococcales; Microbacteriaceae
Description: tRNA-Arg
Rfam family: tRNA
About the family: Transfer RNA (tRNA) molecules are approximately 80 nucleotides in length. Their secondary structure includes four short double-helical elements and three loops (D, anti-codon, and T loops).
Source: RNAcentral